GGGGAAUAUUGCACAAUGGGCGCAAGCCUGAUGCAGCCAUGCCGCGUGUAUGAAGAAGGCCUUCGGGUUGUAAAGUACUUUCAGCAGUGAGGAAGGUGGAUAUGUUAAUAGCAUAUUCAUUUGACGUUAGCUGCAGAAGAAGCACCGGCUAACUCCGUGCCAGCAGCCGCGGUAAUACGGAGGGUGCGAGCGUUAAUCGGAAUUACUGGGCGUAAAGCGCAUGCAGGUGGUUUGUUAAGUCAGAUGUGAAAGCCCGGGGCUCAACCUCGGAAUUGCAUUUGAAACUGGCAAACUAGAGUACUGUAGAGGGGGUAGAAUUUCAGGUGUAGCGGUGAAAUGCGUAGAGAUCUGAAGGAAUACCGGUGGCGAAGGCGGCCCCCUGGACAGAUACUGACACUCAGAUGCGAAAGCGUGGGGAGCAAACAGGAUUAGAUACCCUGGUAG
RNAcentral lists this ribosomal RNA (444 nucleotides) under uncultured bacterium. RNAcentral describes it as "bacterial SSU rRNA". It matches the Rfam family "Bacterial small subunit ribosomal RNA", at positions 356 to 793 of the family's 1533-position model. The record is from RNAcentral.